Molecule: non-coding RNA, 89 nt
Filed under: Cupriavidus taiwanensis
Lineage: Bacteria; Pseudomonadati; Pseudomonadota; Betaproteobacteria; Burkholderiales; Burkholderiaceae
Also listed under: 1 other name
Source: RNAcentral
ACCUGCGGGCGGGCCUUGGCAGGGGAGCCUCAGGGCUCGCCGGUUCGGUGCGCCGGUCUGCUAACCCUGCCCUGUGCCCGCCCACCCGA